RNAcentral lists this ribosomal RNA (352 nucleotides) under uncultured bacterium. RNAcentral's name for it is "bacterial SSU rRNA". It matches the Rfam family "Bacterial small subunit ribosomal RNA", at positions 917 to 1264 of the family's 1533-position model. The record is from RNAcentral.
GGGCCCGCACAAGCGGUGGAGCAUGUGGUUUAAUUCGAAGCAACGCGCAGAACCUUACCCAGGCUUGACAUCCUCAGAACCUCUUGGAAACAAGAGGGUGCCCUCUCACGAGGGAAUUGAGUGACAGGUGCUGCAUGGCUGUCGUCAGCUCGUGCUGUGAGGUGUUCGGUUAAGUCCGGCAACGAGCGCAACCCCUGUCGCUAGUUACCAGCAUUUAGUUGGGGACUCUAGCGAGACUGCCGGUGAUAAACCGGAGGAAGGUGGGGACGACGUCAAGUCCUCAUGGCCCUUAUGUCUGGGGCUACACACGUGCUACAAUGGCAUCUACAGAAGGCAGCGAAGUCGCAAGGCG